RNAcentral lists this ribosomal RNA (497 nucleotides) under uncultured bacterium. RNAcentral's name for it is "partial 16S ribosomal RNA". It matches the Rfam family "Bacterial small subunit ribosomal RNA", at positions 28 to 507 of the family's 1533-position model. The record is from RNAcentral.
GAUGAACGCUGGCGGCGUGCCUAAUACAUGCAAGUCGAGCGAACAGACGAGGAGCUUGCUCCUCUGACGUUAGCGGCGGACGGGUGAGUAACACGUGGAUAACCUACCUAUAAGACUGGGAUAACUUCGGGAAACCGGAGCUAAUACCGGAUAAUAUAUUGAACCGCAUGGUUCAAUAGUGAAAGACGGUUUUGCUGUCACUUAUAGAUGGAUCCGCGCCGCAUUAGCUAGUUGGUAAGGUAACGGCUUACCAAGGCGACGAUGCGUAGCCGACCUGAGAGGGUGGUCGGCCACACUGGAACUGAGACACGGUCCAGACUCCUACGGGAGGCAGCAGUAGGGAAUCUUCCGCAGUGGGCGAAAGCCUGACGGAGCAACGCCGCGUGAGUGAUGAAGGUCUUCGGAUCGUAAAACUCUGUUAUUAGGGAAGAACAAAUGUGUAAGUAACUAUGCACGUCUUGACGGUACCUAAUCAGAAAGCCACGGCUAACUACGUG